GGGGAAUAUUGGGCAAUGGGGGAAACCCUGACCCAGCAACGCCGCGUGAAGGAAGAAGGUUUUCGGAUUGUAAACUUCUGUCGCAGGGGACGAAAAAAAUGACGGUACCCUGUGAGGAAGCCCCGGCUAACUACGUGCCAGCAGCCGCGGUAAUACGUAGGGGGCAAGCGUUGUCCGGAAUUACUGGGCGUAAAGGGUGCGUAGGCGGCCAGACAAGUCAGAUGUGAAAUACCCGGGCUUAACCCGGGGGGUGCAUUUGAAACUGUAUGGCUUGAGUGUAGGAGAGGAAAGCGGAAUUCCUAGUGUAGCGGUGAAAUGCAUAGAUAUUAGGAGGAACACCAGUGGCGAAGGCGGCUUUCUGGACUACAACUGACGCUGAGGCACGAAAGCGUGGGGAGCAAACA
Molecule: ribosomal RNA, 404 nt
Filed under: uncultured Eubacteriales bacterium
Lineage: Bacteria; Bacillati; Bacillota; Clostridia; Eubacteriales
Description: bacterial SSU rRNA
Rfam family: Bacterial small subunit ribosomal RNA
Source: RNAcentral